UGUAUGCACGACUGUAAGUCGCUCUGGAUAAGAGCAUCUGCUAAAUGACUAAAA
Molecule: non-coding RNA, 54 nt
Organism: Salmo salar (Atlantic salmon)
Lineage: Eukaryota; Metazoa; Chordata; Actinopteri; Salmoniformes; Salmonidae
Source: Rfam